Molecule: ribosomal RNA, 1491 nt
Filed under: uncultured prokaryote
Description: partial 16S ribosomal RNA
Rfam family: Bacterial small subunit ribosomal RNA
Source: RNAcentral
AGAGUUUGAUCAUGGCUCAGAUUGAACGCUGGCGGUAGGCUUAACACAUGCAAGUCGAGCGGUAACAGAGAUAGCUUGCUAUCUGCUGACGAGCGGCGGACGGGGGAGUAACGCGUAGGAAACUGCCUAGUAGAGGGGGAUAGCCCAGAGAAAUUUGGAUUAAUACCGCAUACGCCCUACGGGGGAAAAGGGGCUUCGGCUCUUACUAUUAGAUGUGCCUGCGUAAGAUUAGCUUGUUGGUGAGGUAAUGGCUCACCAAGGCGACGAUCUUUAGCUGGUCUGAGAGGAUGAUCAGCCACACUGGAACUGAGACACGGUCCAGACUCCUACGGGAGGCAGCAGUGGGGAAUAUUGCACAAUGGGCGAAAGCCUGAUGCAGCCAUACCGCGUGUGUGAAGAAGGCCCUAGGGUUGUAAAGCACUUUCAGUUGGGAGGAAAAGUUAUAGUUUAAUACGCUAUAGCCGUGACGUUACCAACAGAAUAAGCACCGGCUAACUCCGUGCCAGCAGCCGCGGUAAUACGGAGGUGCAAGCGCGAUAAUCGGAAACACUGCGUAUAGCGCGCGUUAGGUGGUUUGUUAAGCGAGAUGUGAAAGCCCCGGGCUCAACCUGGGAACUGCAUUUCGAACUGGCAGGCUAGAGUAUGGUAGAGGUAAGUGGAAUUUCCUGUGUAGCGGUGAAAUGCGUAGAUAUAGGAAGGAACACCAGUGGCGAAGGCGACUUACUGGACCAAUACUGACUUGAGGUGUGCGAGCGUGGGGGGAGCAACAGGAUUAGAUCCCCUGGUAGUCCACGCCGUAAACGAUGUCUACUAGCCGUUGGGAGACUUGAUCUCUUAGUGGCGCAGCUAACGCAAUAAGUAGACCGCCUGGGGAGUACGCCCGCAAGGUUAAAACUCAAAUGACUUGACGGGGGCCCGCACAAGCGGUGGAGCAUGUGUUUUAAUUCAACGCAACGCGAAGAACCUGACCGGGGCUUGACAGCCUACUAACUUACUAGAGAUAGUUUGGUGUCUUCGGGAACGUAGUGACAGGUGCUGCAUGGCUGUCGUCAGCUCGUGUUGUGAAAUGUUGGGUUAAGUCCCGUAACGAGCGCAACCCUUAUCCUUAUUUGCCAGCCUAAUGGUGGGAACUCUAAGGAGACUGCCGGUGACAAACCGGAGGAAGGUGGGGACGACGUCAAGUCAUCAUGGCCCUUACGAGUAGGGCUACACACGUGCUACAAUGGCCGGUACAGAGGGCUGCUAAACCGCGAGGUGGCGCUAAUCUCAGAAAACCGGUCGUAGUCCGGAUCGGAGUCUGCAACUCGACUCCGUGAAGUCGGAAUCGCUAGUAAUCGCGAAUCAGAAUGUCGCGGUGAAUACGUUCCCGGGCCUUGUACACACCGCCCGUCACACCAUGGGAGUGGGUUGCACCAGAAGUAGCUAGACUAACCUUCGGGAGGUCGGUUACCACGGUGUGAUUCAUGACUGGGGUGAAGUCGUAACAAGGUA